This 253-nucleotide ribosomal RNA is filed under the name uncultured bacterium. RNAcentral's name for it is "partial 16S ribosomal RNA". It matches the Rfam family "Bacterial small subunit ribosomal RNA", at positions 524 to 776 of the family's 1533-position model. The record is from RNAcentral.
UACAGAGGUCUCAAGCGUUGUUCGGAUUCAUUGGGCGUAAAGGGUGCGUAGGUGGCGCUGUAAGUCGGGUGUGAAAUUUCGGAGCUUAACUCCGAAACUGCAUUCGAUACUGCGGUGCUUGAGGACUGCAGAGGAGACUGGAAUUCCCGGUGUAGCGGUGAAAUGCGUAGAUAUCGGAAGGAACACCGGUGGCGAAGGCGGAUGCCUGGCCCAAUACUGACGCUGAGGCACGAAAGCGUGGGUAGCGAACAGG